UAGCUGUACCCGCGACUUCGUCCGCGUGGAAUUUAACAAAAAAUUAUUGUUCAGUUCGCAUAGUUAUAAAAUAAAUAAAUUUCUAAAAUA
This is a long non-coding RNA of Melitaea cinxia (Glanville fritillary), 90 nucleotides long. RefSeq lists it as uncharacterized. Lineage: Eukaryota; Metazoa; Arthropoda; Insecta; Lepidoptera; Nymphalidae. The transcript has 2 exons. The record is from RefSeq and is a predicted model, not a curated record.